AGCAUAUCAAUAGCGGAGGA
RNAcentral lists this ribosomal RNA (20 nucleotides) under Entrophospora claroidea. Its description in RNAcentral is "partial 28S ribosomal RNA". Lineage: Eukaryota; Fungi; Glomeromycota; Glomeromycetes; Entrophosporales; Entrophosporaceae. The record is from RNAcentral.